RNAcentral lists this unclassified non-coding RNA (224 nucleotides) under uncultured fungus. RNAcentral's name for it is "sequence contains ITS1, 5.8S rRNA gene". The stretch from base 176 to 224 matches the Rfam family "5.8S ribosomal RNA", at positions 1 to 49 of the family's 154-position model. The record is from RNAcentral. Lineage: Eukaryota; Fungi.
UUUCCGUAGGUGAACCUGCGGAAGGAUCAUUACAGUUGGGGCCCCGCCCCGAUCAAGAUACCACCCCUUGCUUUUUGCGUACCUAUCGUUUCCUCGGCGGGCUUGCCUGCCGGUUGGACAACUUUAUAACCUUUUUAAAUCUUCAAUCAGCGUCUGAACAAUAUACAAUAAUUACAACUUUCAACAACGGAUCUCUUGGUUCUGGCAUCGAUGAAGAACGCAGC